ACCGAUCCCAAGAACAAGAUAAGAGAGAAGCUCUGGGCACCAAGCAAGAUAACACAUCUGAGUCCAGUGAGAAGGAACAGGGUGAUACGGUUUCUUUUUUUCUUUGACCAUACUAUGACUCUGUCCUCCCAAGGCAGCUGCAGUACUGGCUUACCUCGAGGAGCUGACUGGAGCCUCUUGUCUACAUGCAAAGGCUGCACUUAUGCUCAUGGAGAAGGCAAUUUAAUGGAUGAGCAUCUGCAGAGAGCAGUCAUGGGUGCUGAGGAUGUGACCUCUGUGAUGUUCCUGUUUUCCAUGCUUUGCUCUGUGCUAACCAUUGUCUGCUCCUGUGGCCUGUCCCCACUGUGGUGAUAGGACCAAAUAGUUGGUUUAGCUCUGGUUUAGGUGCCCAAAGGAUGCGCUGUAAUGUGAAUCAAAGUGCAGAAGUAGAGGACAAAUAGAAUAUUUGCUUCAAAGCAAAGAAGACCAUGAGUUCCCAGCCCUGCAGAUGGGAACCUGCAACCCUCCCUCUGGGUGAGAUCCCUUCCCUAGAGGGACUCUAGAGUUCUGUUACUGAAGAAACAUCUCAGCAACGUUGAGGCAACAAUCACGCCUUCACGGUCACCUUAGCCUGAGUGUUUCCAAGGGGAAAGGUGGCAAAAACAGCCCAACUGGUUAUGGCACACGCCCAUAGACUUACAACAUGCUGCCGUGGAAAGUGCCUAAAAGCUCCACAGGAUGCUUCCCACCACUCUGUAAUUCUCAUUUCUGCUCGCAGCUCUUCUGAUCGUGAAUAAGUAAGAUUUUGCUUUGACUUGACUGUUCUGCUCACUUAGCUGAUGUUGUGACAUUGGCAUUGAGUCGUGGGUUGUAUUGUGUUUUGGAGAGAUUAAAUGUUUUCUUCUUUAUUCAGAAGGGAAGCCAGACAACUAAGCUGCCAACAAUUACAGCUUGACACACUGUCAGAGGAGAGGAAGCAGUUUGUUAUCAUAGCUAUAUAGCAAGAGAAGAAUAUAUAUUGACAGGGUCCAUUUUAGAAUGGCAUUUCUCAGACACAAUUUCGAAUGAAUCAUCUUAGAAAGAACUACAGACAAUGUUCUUCCUUCCCCUUUCAGCAGGCAGGCAAAAGUCCACAAAAAUUUCACAAGCUAAAUCUCCAUACAGACAUCCAUAAUUCAGUGUGUCAGAGCUUUACUAUAAAGCUCAUCAUUUGUGAAGUUAUGUAAAAAUCUCCUUUGUAAGAAAAUCUUUCCCCACUAUCUUAGUAGGAAGGUGCUUUUUGAUCUCUGCAUGAAUAUUUCUAAUAAAAAUACUUGCGUGUAUCUUAACAUCUCUAACAUAAAUUAUAAGACCUUUUCCUCUAUUAAAACAUCUAGUGUCAACGCUGUUGUUGAAUACUUAAUGUAAAGUAUAAUGUAAUUUGACUAGAUAAUUAUCUGGGGGAAAAUGGUGAAUGCAGUGUUGUUUUUUCUGUGUUUGUUUUUCAUCUUUGGUGACUGUUUAAAGGAGAGCUGCAGCUGAAUGACUAACAGUCUAAGAUUCACCUUCUCUCACUGCAGCCUGCUGCUGAAAAGAUACUGCCACAGCACUGCAUCUGAGUGAGAGGCAUUGAUUUCUGCACGGCAUGUGGAAUACUCUGGGCCUUUCUAUGGUCAAUCUAUCACCCUGAUCUCUAGGGACGUUUAUAGACAGCACACAGCCUAUUUAUUUGGCACAGUGUCUUUCCAUUGAGAUUUCUCUUCCAUGAUACGCUCGCAGUGCUUUUUUUCCCC
This 1751-nucleotide long non-coding RNA is filed under the name Gallus gallus (chicken). Its description in RNAcentral is "lncRNA (ENSGALG00010015556.1)". The record is from RNAcentral. Lineage: Eukaryota; Metazoa; Chordata; Aves; Galliformes; Phasianidae.